Molecule: transfer RNA, 69 nt
Filed under: Ictidomys tridecemlineatus (thirteen-lined ground squirrel)
Lineage: Eukaryota; Metazoa; Chordata; Mammalia; Rodentia; Sciuridae
Also listed under: 1 other name
Description: Spermophilus tridecemlineatus (thirteen-lined ground squirrel) tRNA
Rfam family: tRNA
About the family: Transfer RNA (tRNA) molecules are approximately 80 nucleotides in length. Their secondary structure includes four short double-helical elements and three loops (D, anti-codon, and T loops).
Source: Rfam by way of RNAcentral
GGGGAUGUGGCUCAGUGGUAGAGCACUUGCCUAGCAUGUGUGAGGCACUGGGUUCAAUUCUCAGCACCA